AUCUGCCCUGGGUUAGUCGGGGCCUAAGGCGAGGCCGACAGGCGUAGUCGAUGGAUAACGGGUUGAUAUUCCCGUACCGGUGAAAAACCGCCCAUACUGAUAUUGUGAUGCUAACCAUGCGAAGCAUGAUGUGCAGGCUUUUGUUUGUGUGUUGUGUGGGUUGUGGGACCCGAUCUUUGGAGGUAAACGUGUUAACAGGUGUGACGCAGGAAGGUAGCCAAGCCACGCGAUGGUUGUCGUGGUCUAAGCGUGUAGGGUUGUCGGUUGUUAAAUGCGCCGGCUGUGUGCCUGAGACGUGAUGGGACCCCGUUUUUGGGGGAUUUGGUGAUCCUAUGCUGCCGAGAAAAGCAUCGGCGUGAGGUUUUAGCCGCCCGUACCCUAAACCGACACAGGUGAUCAGGUAGAGAAUACUAAGGCGAUCGAGAGAAUCAUGGUUAAGGAACUCGGCAAAAUGCCCCCGUAACUUCGGGAGAAGGGGGACCUUGAGCGUGAUGGGCACUUGCUGCCUGGAGCGUGUAUGGGUCGCAGAGACCAGGGGGAAGCGACUGUUUAUCAAAAACACAGGUCCGUGCGAAGUCGUAAGACGAUGUAUACGGACUGACUCCUGCCCGGUGCUGGAAGGUUAAGAGGAUUGGUUAGCCCUUUUUGGGCGAAGCUGAGAAUUUAAGCCCCAGUAAACGGCGGUGGUAACUAUAACCAUCCUAAGGUAGCGAAAUUCCUUGUCGGGUAAGUUCCGACCUGCACGAAUGGCGUAACGACUUCUCUACUGUCUCAACCAUGAACUCGGCGAAAUUGCAGUACGAGUAAAGAUGCUCGUUUCGCGCAGCAGGACGGAAAGACCCCGUGACCUUUACUAUAGUUUGGUAUUGGUGUUUGGUUUGGCUUGUGUAGGAUAGGUGGGAGACUGUGAAGCAUGGACGCUAGUUUGUGUGGAGUCGUUGUUGAAAUACCACUCUGGUCAAUCUGGAUGUCUAACUUCGGGCCAUGAUCUGGUUCAGGGACAGUGCCUGAUGGGUAGUUUAACUGGGGCGGUUGCCUCCUAAAGUGUAACGGAGGCGCCCAAAGGUUCCCUCAGCCUGGUUGGCAAUCAGGUGUUGAGUGUAAGUGCACAAGGGAGCUUGACUGUGAGACUGGCAGGUCGAGCAGGGACGAAAGUCGGGACUAGUGAUCCGGCGGUACGUUGUGGAACGGCCGUCGCUCAACGGAUAAAAGGUACCUCGGGGAUAACAGGCUGAUCUUGCCCAAGAGUCCAUAUCGACGGCAUGGUUUGGCACCUCGAUGUCGGCUCGUCGCAUCCUGGGGCUGGAGUCGGUCCCAAGGGUUGGGCUGUUCGCCCAUUAAAGCGGUACGCGAGCUGGGUUCAGAACGUCGUGAGACAGUUCGGUCCCUAUCCGCUGCGCGCGUUGGAAAUUUGAGAAAGGCUGUCCUUAGUACGAGAGGACCGGGACGGACGAACCUCUGGUAUGUCAGUUGUACCGCCAGGUGCAUGGCUGAUUGGCUACGUUCGGGAGGGAUAACCGCUGAAGGCAUCUAAGCGGGAAGCCUGUUUCGAGAUGAGUUCUCCUGGCAUCCUUUGGGUGUGUGAGGCUCCUUAGAGAUGAUGAGGUUGAUAGGCCGGGUAUGGAAGCGUUGUAAGGCGUGGAGUUGACUGGUACUAAUAGGCCGAAGACUUAUUCAC
This 1678-nucleotide ribosomal RNA is filed under the name human oral metagenome. RNAcentral describes it as "bacterial LSU rRNA". It matches the Rfam family "Bacterial large subunit ribosomal RNA", at positions 1368 to 2925 of the family's 2925-position model. The record is from RNAcentral.